GAUGAACGCUAGCGAUAGGCUUAACACAUGCAAGUCGAGGGGCAGCACAAGGUAGCUUGCUCUCUGGGUGGCGACCGGCGCACGGGUGCGUAACGCGUAUGCAACUUUCCCUAUACAGGAGGAUAACCCGUCGAAAGACGGACUAAUACUGCGUAUGCUCACAACUUGGCAUCAAGUGGUGAGGAAAGAAAUUCGGUAUAGGAUAGGCAUGCGUCCCAUUAGCUUGUUGGUGAGGUAACGGCUCACCAAGGCAACGAUGGGUAGGGGAACUGAGAGGUUUAUCCCCCACACUGGUACUGAGACACGGACCAGACUCCUACGGGAGGCAGCAGUGAGGAAUAUUGGUCAAUGGGCGCGAGCCUGAACCAGCCAAGUCGCGUGAAGGAUGACUGUCUUAUGGAUUGUAAACUUCUUUUAGACGGGAAGAACAAGAGUCACGUGUGACUCCCUGCAUGUACCGUAUGAAUAAGCAUCGGCUAACUCCGUG
This 487-nucleotide ribosomal RNA is filed under the name uncultured bacterium. Its description in RNAcentral is "partial 16S ribosomal RNA". It matches the Rfam family "Bacterial small subunit ribosomal RNA", at positions 28 to 507 of the family's 1533-position model. The record is from RNAcentral.